RNAcentral lists this ribosomal RNA (497 nucleotides) under uncultured bacterium. Its description in RNAcentral is "partial 16S ribosomal RNA". It matches the Rfam family "Bacterial small subunit ribosomal RNA", at positions 28 to 507 of the family's 1533-position model. The record is from RNAcentral.
GAUGAACGCUGGCGGCGUGCCUAAUACAUGCAAGUCGAGCGAACAGACGAGGAGCUUGUUCCUCUGUCGUUAGCGGCGCGCGGGUGAGUCACAUGUGUAUAACGUACCUAUAAUACGGGGAUAACUUCGGGACACCGGCGCUAAUACCGGAUAAUAUAUUGAACCGCAUGGUUCAAUAGAGAAUGACGGUUUUGCGGGCAGUUAUAGAUGGUUCCGCGCCGCAUUGUCUAGUUGGUAAGGUAACGGCCUUCCAAGGCAACGAUGCGUAGCCGACCUGUGGGACUGGUCGGCCACAUUAGAGCUGGGACACGGACCAGACUCCUGCGGGAGGCAGCAGUAGGGAAUCUUCCGCAAUAGGCGAAAGCCUGGCAGAGCAGCGCCGCGUGAGUGAUGAAGGUCUUCGGAUCGUAAAGCUCUGUUAUUGGGGAAGAACAACUGUGGAAGUAACUAUGCAGGUAUUGACGGUACCUGGUCAGAAAGCCACGGCUAACUACGUG